RNAcentral lists this unclassified non-coding RNA (330 nucleotides) under uncultured fungus. Its description in RNAcentral is "partial contains 5.8S ribosomal RNA, internal transcribed spacer 2, and large subunit ribosomal RNA". The record is from RNAcentral. Lineage: Eukaryota; Fungi.
AACGCACAUUGCACUCCUCUGGAGUAUGCCUGUUUGAGAAUCUAUAGUAUUCAUUUCCCAGACCUUCUUUUUGGAGGGGUGGGGAGAUAUGGAGCUCCCGGUCCCUUGUGGGCGGGGUUCUCUGAAAUAGAUUGCUACUAGGGAGGCAGGGAUGCUUGACGUCUCUCCGAUUCUAUUAGAAAAGUAUGUGUCUGAAACCGUGGUUUCUCAUUAUACCGACUAUUCUAGAGGGGAGGCCUAGUCUCUGGCGAGCUAGCUAGUCCAGACCUUGAAGGCCUCUAGGCCUUGAACCAUGGUCUCAAAUCAGGUAGGAAGACCCGCUGAACUUAA